GACGAACGCUGGCGGCGUGCUUAACACAUGCAAGUCGAACGGAAAGGCCCUGCUUUUGUGGGGUGCUCGAGUGGCGAACGGGUGAGUAACACGUGAGUAACCUGCCCUUGACUUUGGGAUGACUUCAGGAAACUGGGGCUAAUACCGGAUAGGAGCUCCUGCUGCAUGGUGGGGGUUGGAAAGUUUCGGCGGUUGGGGAUGGACUCGCGGCUUAUCAGCUUGUUGGUGGGGUAGUGGCUUACCAAGGCUUUGACGGGUAGCCGGCCUGAGCGGGUGACCGGCCACAGUGGGACUGAGAUAGGGCCCGGACUCCUACGGGAGGCAGCAGUGGGGAUUAUUGCACAAUGGGCGGAAGCCGGAUGCAGCAACGCCGCGUGCGGGAUGACGGCCUUCGGGUUGUAACCCGCUUUCGCCUGUGACGAAGCGUGAGUGACGGUAAUGGGUAAAGAAGCACCGGCUAACUACGUG
This 468-nucleotide ribosomal RNA is filed under the name uncultured bacterium. Its description in RNAcentral is "partial 16S ribosomal RNA". It matches the Rfam family "Bacterial small subunit ribosomal RNA", at positions 28 to 507 of the family's 1533-position model. The record is from RNAcentral.